CGCCCCUCCGGUCCCACCCCCUCCUCCGCCGUCGCCCGCGGGGAUGCUCGCGUGCAGCCCUCCUCGCGUUUAAAGCCACGGCUCCGAGGGGGGUGCGGCGAGCAGGAGCGACGGGGAGGGGGCCGCUGGCGUUCUGCAGAGGGCUGGCCCGGGUUCGUCGGCUGCCGUCACCUGACUCGUCGCAGGCGCUCCAGCUGAGAAGAGGAGGCGGUAGACGCGACCGGUGAAGAUGUCGGGCCAAACGCUCACGGAUCGGAUCGCUGCCGCUCAGUACAGCGUGACUGGCUCUGCUGUAGCAAGAGCCGUCUGCAAAGCCACCACUCAUGAGGUGAUGGGCCCCAAGAAGAAGCACCUGGACUAUUUGAUCCAGGCUACCAACGAGACCAAUGUCAAUAUUCCUCAGAUGGCGGAUACCCUCUUUGAGCGGGCGACAAACAGCAGCUGGGUGGU
RNAcentral lists this long non-coding RNA (450 nucleotides) under Rattus norvegicus (Norway rat). RNAcentral's name for it is "long non-coding RNA NONRATT028847". The record is from RNAcentral. Lineage: Eukaryota; Metazoa; Chordata; Mammalia; Rodentia; Muridae.